CGUGAUACUAUGUAUGUAAAUACAAUAUUAUAUAUUUUCAGGUGCUGAAGACAUAUGUUCGUUGCCACCGGAAGUGGGUCCCUGCAGAGCCGGUUUUCGGAAAUUCGCAUACUACAGCGAGCUGAACAAGUGUAAAUUAUUUACAUACGGUGGUUGUCAAGGAAACGAAAACAACUUCGAAACACUGCAAGCAUGUGAGCAAGCUUGUGUGAAAAAGUGAUACUAAAAAAGACGCAUCCAGUGACCGCUCAGCCUUAUUCUCAAACUAUAUUGAAUUUUAUAUAAAUAAAUAUUGGUAAAAAUAUUAUAUCCCA
This is a long non-coding RNA of Manduca sexta (tobacco hornworm), 314 nucleotides long. RefSeq lists it as uncharacterized. NCBI's taxonomy places the organism in Eukaryota, Metazoa, Arthropoda, Insecta, Lepidoptera, Sphingidae. The record is from RefSeq and is a predicted model, not a curated record. The transcript is spliced from 2 exons.